GCGGGUGUAGCUCAGCGGUUAGAGCGCCGGCCUGUCACGCCGGAGGCCGCGGGUUCAAAUCCCGUCAUCCGCGCCA
Molecule: transfer RNA, 76 nt
Filed under: bacterium
Lineage: Bacteria
Also listed under: 3 other names
Description: tRNA-Asp
Rfam family: tRNA
About the family: Transfer RNA (tRNA) molecules are approximately 80 nucleotides in length. Their secondary structure includes four short double-helical elements and three loops (D, anti-codon, and T loops).
Source: RNAcentral